CUCUCUCUCUGUGUGUGUGUGUGUGUGUGCGUGCGUGCGUGCAUGCGUGCGCCCGCGCGCCCGCGCGCCCGCAAGAGGGUGUGGGCAGGAAUAAAGCUCUUCAAGCUACAAUCUCUCUUACAUACCUUUAUCUGAGAGUAAGGACUACUGAACAUGAUGAUGCUAUGUGCACAUGCACGGGAUUGUCUUUCUAAACAGACAAAAAGUAUCAAAGUAAAUGGCAGGGUGGUGAUAGGAUGUUCUGAUGAGCAUGCAAAGAAAGACUAUUGUGCUUCUUCAAGAGGAACGGCUUAUUGACUCAGCUUAUCUGGGCUUGAACUUUUCUUCUCCGUUUAUCACCGGAGAAAUUUUCUUCAAAGAAAUCUGCCACCUGCUGUUAACUUUCCCAGUACGCACACCUUUGCCUCAUCUACAUGUGUGUCCAAGAGGCAUCCAUGCUGCUGAAAAAUGUAAGGAGAAAUGAGAAUUAGAGCUUCUUCUCUAUGAAGGAAGACUAAAGAAAAUGGAGCAUAGCUCCAGAACAUAGCGCUGGGGGAUUGUUCAAUGAACCUAAGUGGUUUGUGCAAACAUUUUUAAAUUUAAAUCAGUAAAAUGUGUAAUAUUAAACAGUUCCAAUUGUCAGUAAUUCAUUUGCCUAUAACAGAAGGCAAUGUGUGUUUGUGUGUGUUAUUAAGUC
RNAcentral lists this long non-coding RNA (676 nucleotides) under Pogona vitticeps (central bearded dragon). RNAcentral's name for it is "lncRNA (ENSPVIG00000018918.1)". Lineage: Eukaryota; Metazoa; Chordata; Lepidosauria; Squamata; Agamidae. The record is from RNAcentral.